Molecule: ribosomal RNA, 486 nt
Filed under: Blastocystis sp. subtype 3
Lineage: Eukaryota; Bigyra; Opalinata; Blastocystidae
Description: SSU rRNA
Rfam family: Eukaryotic small subunit ribosomal RNA
Source: RNAcentral
UGAGACAACGUACAAACCUUAUCGAUAAACAAUUGGAGGGCAAGUCUGGUGCCAGCAGCCGCGGUAAUUCCAGCUCCAAUAGCGUAUAUUAACGUUGUUGCAGUUAAAAAGCUCGUAGUUGAAAUGAAGGGUAGUUGUGUAAUGAAUACAUUCGUGUAUUUUGUUAUUCUACUACCCUCCUUCUAAAUUCGAUAUAUGAGUAUUAAUUUACUUGUAUAUGGUUUUAGACCUUUACUGUGAGAAAAUUAGAGUGUUCAAAGCAGGCAUUUGCUUGAAUAUAUUAGCAUGGAAUAAUCAUGUAUGAUUUUCAUGAUGUAUUUGAUUGGUUUGGUUCAUGAGAAUAAGAUUAAAAGGGACAGUUGGGGGUAUUCAUAUUCAAUAGUCAGAGGUGAAAUUCUCGGAUUUAUGGAAGAUGAACAAGUGCGAAAGCAUUUACCAAGGAUGUUUUCAUUAAUCAAGAACGAAAGUUAGGGGAUCGAAGAGGAU